This 261-nucleotide ribosomal RNA is filed under the name uncultured archaeon. RNAcentral describes it as "partial 16S ribosomal RNA". It matches the Rfam family "Archaeal small subunit ribosomal RNA", at positions 748 to 1008 of the family's 1478-position model. The record is from RNAcentral.
CAGCCGUAAACAAUGUGCGUUAGGUGUGUCGGUAACCACGUGUUACUGAUGCGCCGAAGAGAAAUCGUGAAACGCACCACCUGGGAAGUACGGUCGCAAGGCUGAAACUUAAAGGAAUUGGCGGGGGAGCACCACAACAGGUGGAGCCUGCGGUUUAAUUGGAUUCAACGCCGGACAUCUCACCGGAUAAGACAGCUGAAUGAUUGUCAAUCUGAAGGUUUUACAUGACUAGCUGAGAGGAGGUGCAUGGCGUGUGACUGU